Molecule: long non-coding RNA, 2237 nt
Filed under: Glycine max (soybean)
Lineage: Eukaryota; Viridiplantae; Streptophyta; Magnoliopsida; Fabales; Fabaceae
Description: long non-coding RNA (GMAX_LNC001658)
Source: RNAcentral
GACCUAAAAAGAGAAUCCAUUUGAUUAAGAGGAGAGUGCAUAAAAGAGGAAAACCUCUCCAUUAAAUGUACAUAGAUAGUGACACGAAUCCCAAAAAGAAUAAAGGGACCAAGGGAGAUGUCAUUUGGCCGCACCGUUGGAGCAAAGAGAGGGAUCUCCGGUAUCCCUCAUUUCCUGAAUAUCUCAUCUUUUUUCCUCCUCUUCUCUCCUUGGCUCUCUUUCUUCUUCUCCCUCUAGAUUCAUAUAGGUUGAUAUUGAUGAUUUCCUUGUGUUUUAUUUCAUUUCUUUGUUAGUGGUAGUUAUGACUUCAAAUUUUCAGUUACAUCAACGAUUUUAAAUUACAAAAUAAAUGAAUGCUUAGCUAGUAGGUAAUACCAACAAUCUAGUUCAGCUAAAAGAUCUGCAAACUUUAUAAUGUUUAUAUAUAAGAACCUCUAUAAGUUAUGUAUUUAUAAAUAAUUUUGUGCUUCGAUCCUUGAAGACAGAAAAAAAAACUCAUACAGGUAAUCUCAUCAUAAUAUUUUUAGUAUUCCUUUGAAAAAAAAUCAACAGUUAUAUAAACUCCAUGUAUAAUAGUUAGUCUAUUAACCGUUAUUGAUUAUAUUUAUCUAUCUAUCUAAGAGAAAUAAGAGUUAUCUUAAUUAAUUCAGCUCUCAAUCAACACAAACCAAAUGACGCACAAAGAGCUUGGUACUAUAGUCAAAGGUUUGGGUUGAGACUUCAUACUAGAAAUCCAGGAUGGUUUAUACAAAAUCGUUUUUUCAAUUAUGAUUCAAAAGCCAAAACUAUAUACACUAGAAUUAGAUUAAUGGCUUACCACCGAUCGAAAUUGGCAUUGACGUUGGCCACAUGGGAAAAGGAAUAGAGUGAGAAUUAACCAAAGAAAACUUUCUUAACGUCUUUCUCAAGUUAUGUUUUCUCUUACAGAUGAUAUUGAUGUUUUAGGCAGCUUCUAUUAUUAAUAUGCAUAUUUGCAACGUAAUAGGAUUGUUACGUCCGUUUUUUUUUUAGAUUGUACGUCCCUUGUUGUAUAGAUAAUAAUUGGAAUUUAUAUAUUUAUGAACACCAAAUUAGUAGUUAGUUUUGAGUUACAUCAUGUUGAAUCUUAGCAUUAACUUAGGUUUGAAUUAAGGGUUCGUCCGAUAGAGAAAAAAUAAAUAGAAAGAAAGUGAAUUGAGAUGAAAAUUUAUAAUAAAAAUCGAACUUGCAUUUAGAAUGAGAAACAACUUUUAGUGAUUAAAGUAUUUAUUUGGAAGCCUAUACAAAGAGAUCAAACUUAACAUAAGCCUUGAUAGCUACACAUCAUACAUCAAAAUCAAACCCUCUAGAUAUAUUAGAAGUUCAAACCCUCUAGAUAUAUUAGAAGUUCAAACCCUCUCAAUGAACUUUUCAAUAAGCAGUUAAAAGAAAAGAAAAUAAAAAAGGUAAAAUAUUGCUUAACUUAUGUAUGUAUAACUAAUUUAUAAAAGUUUUCUCAUUUGACUUCUCUAAAAGUUGAUUUUUUUAACUUAUGAAAUAAACUUAAUUUAUUUUAUCUUCUUAUUUUCUUCUCCUAUAAGUAUUUAUUAACAAAUUUUAUCCUAACUAGGUUUAGACAAUAACUUAUUGAUCAUAUUGCAAUGACAGUAUCAGUCAAAGUGUAAACAUCUGCAGAAACCUCUAAUUCUAAACUAAUAGGCCUUUGUACAAAUGUUGCUUAUCUUCUUUUUUUUAUCCACAAUGUUAGUUGUUAAUUAUUAAUUUUUUGGUUAGCGGGGGAAUCAAAUACACAACCUUUCCCUUCCUUCCUUCUCUUUUUACAACCAAACCAAUUUUAUAACUCCAAAUGUUGCUUAUCUUGAGGAAGCAGAUUAACUAUGUCCCUGUUAAGCAUGGACAGUUGGACACUACAGCAUGUCAACAACAAUAGAGCACGGUUUCUUGCCAGCUAGCUCUUGAAUACAGAGAAGUGCAAGAAGGUUUGUUUGAGUUAGAUACAAGAAAUAAUCUUUUGCAAAUAAACUGAGUACUGGAUGGAGACUUCCACAUCCUAGAAGGGUUUUUCACUGAUUAUUCACUGCCACAGUCUCUUAUUAAUCUCCCUCCAGACUCCAGUAACAAAGAUCAAAUGCUGAAGACAAAAAAUUUCUCUGUAAAUUUUCAGAUAUACAAUAUGUUGGGAACAUGCAGUCAAGUACAUUUAAAUAUCAGAAUCAACUCACAGACAGAGCAAUGGAUAUUCAUAUUUUAUAUCCUAC